ACACAAUACCGAAGCUACGGGCAUGUAAAUGCGUUAGAGGAGCGUUCUAAGGGCAUUGAAGCUAGACUGUAAAGACUAGUGGAGCGCUUAGAAGUGAGAAUGCCGGUAUGAGUAACGAUUCAAAGUGAGAAUCUUUGACGCCUAUUGGGGAAGGUUUCCUGGGCAAGGUUCGUCCACCCAGGGUUAGUCGGGUCCUAAGACGAGGCCGAAAGGCGUAGCCGAUGGACAACAGGUUAAUAUUCCUGUACUUUCUUGAAUGUGAUGGAGUGACGGGGGAGGAUAGUUUUACCACUUAUUGGAUUGUGGGGUAAGUAGAGACUGGGUGAUGUUGGCAAAUCCGCAUCACAUUAACCGGAACAUAC
This 362-nucleotide ribosomal RNA is filed under the name Metamycoplasma salivarium. Its description in RNAcentral is "bacterial LSU rRNA". It matches the Rfam family "Bacterial large subunit ribosomal RNA", at positions 1186 to 1564 of the family's 2925-position model. The record is from RNAcentral. Lineage: Bacteria; Bacillati; Mycoplasmatota; Mycoplasmoidales; Metamycoplasmataceae.